RNAcentral lists this transfer RNA (88 nucleotides) under Candidatus Oleimmundimicrobium sp. RNAcentral describes it as "tRNA-Leu". It matches the Rfam family "tRNA". From Rfam's summary of the family: Transfer RNA (tRNA) molecules are approximately 80 nucleotides in length. Their secondary structure includes four short double-helical elements and three loops (D, anti-codon, and T loops). Lineage: Bacteria; Bacillati; Actinomycetota; Candidatus Aquicultoria; Candidatus Subteraquimicrobiales; Candidatus Oleimmundimicrobiaceae. The record is from RNAcentral.
GUCGGAGUGGCGGAAUUGGCAGACGCGCUAGGUUGAGGGCCUAGUGAACAUUUAGUUCAUGGGGGUUCAAAUCCCCCCCCCGACACCA